AACGAACGCUGGCGGCAUGCCUAACACAUGCAAGUCGAACGAGACCUUCGGGUCUAGUGGCGCACGGGUGCGUAACGCGUGGGAACCUGCCCUUAGGUUCGGAAUAACUCCCCGAAAGGGGUGCUAAUACCGGAUAAUGUCUUCGGACCAAAGAUUUAGCGCCUUUGGAUGGGCCCGCGUUGGAUUAGCUAGUUGGUAGUGUAAAAGCCUACCAAGGCGACGAUCCAUAGCUGGUCUGAGAGGAUGAUCAGCCACACUGGGACUGAGACACGGCCCAGACUCCUACGGGAGGCAGCAGUGGGGAAUAUUGGACAAUGGGCGAAAGCCUGAUCCAGCAAUGCCGCGUGAGUGAGGAAGGCCUUAGGGUUGUAAAGCUCUUUUACCCGGGAUGAUAAUGACGGUACCGGGAGAAUAAGCUCCGGCUAACUCCGUG
This 433-nucleotide ribosomal RNA is filed under the name uncultured bacterium. RNAcentral describes it as "partial 16S ribosomal RNA". It matches the Rfam family "Bacterial small subunit ribosomal RNA", at positions 29 to 507 of the family's 1533-position model. The record is from RNAcentral.